GGGCAAUGCCACCUUUGUCCUUCACUGUGUCCACAAAUGAUAAGAAGUUGAUGCUGUACGUUUCAAUUGGUAUUGCUGCAUUAGUGGUGGUAGUAAUACUAAUUCCCAUGUCAGCUUGCCUAUUGAACAAGAAGGGUGGGAGGAGUCAUAGGGACCGCCAGUAACCUGCAAGCAGGAAGUGAUACAGCCAGUGUGCUUCCUCAGAUCCCCUCAACUCAGGUAUUUUUCUACAGGCUGUUCUGUCUGUGAUUAUAAUGUAUACAUCUUCUGAGUUGUUAAAGCCAUUAGCCUACAUUUACUCUUGUUGUGUCGGGAUAACGGGAAUGCAUCUGAGAGUGGCCCUAACUCUAUCCACAGGAAAGAGCAGAAAGACGGCAGCAGU
Molecule: non-coding RNA, 382 nt
Organism: Salvelinus sp. IW2-2015
Lineage: Eukaryota; Metazoa; Chordata; Actinopteri; Salmoniformes; Salmonidae
Source: RefSeq, a predicted model, not a curated record